Molecule: long non-coding RNA, 323 nt
Filed under: Cricetulus griseus (Chinese hamster)
Lineage: Eukaryota; Metazoa; Chordata; Mammalia; Rodentia; Cricetidae
Description: lncRNA (ENSCGRG00015029639.1)
Source: RNAcentral
GUUGACUUUAAUGCCCACCCAUGUGUGAGUCUUCUGUCUAUGGAUGGAGCAUAGCAUGUCAAUGAAGACCUGUCUGACAGCAAUCCCUGGACAACCUGGAAAAGAAAAUGGGCCACACCUCCGCAACUGCACUGGAUCCAACUUGCUCCAUUUCAAUCGACACUCUGGCCAAAGCUUUGGAUACUGACUUCAAUCAAGUUGAGGAAUUCAAGCAAGGUCUUCAAUCAAGCUAAUCCCAUCUAACAUGGACUGGAUACAAUCCAUUCAAGACUUUUACUAUACUAACAUUUUCUUCCUACAGGACCCCCACAUGACUAUCGUCG